AAUGACGCCCUUGAAAGACAUGUUCCCCUUUCAUCAAUGCACAGACCCAGAAGACCCCUCCGUCCUGCAGCCCCCGCCAUGAGCCUCGGGCUCCUGUGCUGUGCAGCCUUUUCUCUCCUGUGGGCAGGUCCAGUGGAUGCUGGUGUCACUCAGACCCCAAAAUUCCAGGUCCUGAAGACAGGACAGAGCAUGACACUGCAGUGUGCUCAGGAUAUGAACCAUAACUACAUGUACUGGUAUCGACAAGACCCAGGCAUGGGGCUGAGGCUGAUUCAUUACUCAGCUGGUGAGGGUACAACUGCCAAAGGAGAAGUCCCCGAUGGCUACAAUGUCUCCAGACUAAACACACAGAAUUUCCUGCUCAGGCUGGAGUUGGCUGCUCCCUCCCAGACAUCUGUGUACUUCUGUGCCACCAGUGAAGCCACAGUCCACAGCUAUGAUGAACAGUUCUAUGCAGACACUGACCUGCUCCAUAGUUACCGCACCUUACCUUCAAUGUGGCCACGUGUUCCCAAAACACGCUGUUGCUGA
Non-coding RNA from Gorilla gorilla gorilla (western lowland gorilla), 531 nucleotides. The record is from the annotation of a RefSeq genome assembly. NCBI's taxonomy places the organism in Eukaryota, Metazoa, Chordata, Mammalia, Primates, Hominidae.